ACGGUAGCUAAUACCGCAUAACGUCUUCGGACCAAAGUGGGGGACCUUCGGGCCUCAUGCCAUCAGAUGUGCCCAGAUGGGAUUAGCUAGUAGGUGGGGUAACGGCUCACCUAGGCGACGAUCCCUAGCUGGUCUGAGAGGAUGACCAGCCACACUGGAACUGAGACACGGUCCAGACUCCUACGGGAGGCAGCAGUGGGGAAUAUUGCACAAUGGGCGCAAGCCUGAUGCAGCCAUGCCGCGUGUAUGAAGAAGGCCUUCGGGUUGUAAAGUACUUUCAGCGGGGAGGAAGGCAAUACGGUUAAUAACCGUGUUGAUUGACGUUACCCGCAGAAGAAGCACCGGCUAACUCCGUGCCAGCAGCCGCGGUAAUACGGAGGGUGCAAGCGUUAAUCGGAAUUACUGGGCGUAAAGCGCACGCAGGCGGUCUGUCAAGUCGGAUGUGAAAUCCCCGGGCUCAACCUGGGAACUGCAUCCGAAACUGGCAGGCUUGAGUCUUGUAGAGGG
This 507-nucleotide ribosomal RNA is filed under the name Enterobacteriaceae bacterium. Its description in RNAcentral is "bacterial SSU rRNA". It matches the Rfam family "Bacterial small subunit ribosomal RNA", at positions 156 to 658 of the family's 1533-position model. Lineage: Bacteria; Pseudomonadati; Pseudomonadota; Gammaproteobacteria; Enterobacterales; Enterobacteriaceae. The record is from RNAcentral.